CACACACCCUUUUUGUCUUUGAGGAAUCUGAGCAUCCCUGAUACAAGAGACUUAACUUCUUCCAGAACCUCUUGCCUUGUAUAUGGAAAGUCUUGUAUUAUUAACAGAGUGAAUUGAGACAGGUCUGGCUCUAACUUCCCAAAUACAGUUGUUUGCUCCUGGUGACAUCAUUUCUAUAUAAGGCCAAGAGCUUAACCCUUUCAUCUACAAGCCUCAGCACCACACAUGUCUUGCGCAAUUUCAGUUGCCUGUCCUGCAUCUGUUCCAGAAGAAUGCAAUCCAAACAAGAACUGGAGAAAGAUCAUUAAGAACCAAACAUUUGUAUGUGUCUGCCUAAACAAAAAUUAACAUUCCCUCAAAGCUUGUUCUUCUUCUGACAGCUAAUACUGAUUAUUAAUGAGGCUGACAUUUGCAUUUCACAAUGAAAUUCUCUGCUGCAAAAUUGACUGGAUAAUUAGUGUGAUUUGGAGCUGCUCCAAUGCUAUGGAUGUCCUGCAUGGGAGGAACAUGAAAACCGUGUACAGAGAGAGACAUGCAGGGCCAGCCCCAGAGCUUUUGCUGCCUGAGGUCAAGUACGAGAUGGUAUCCCUCUCCCACAUUCCAUGUUCAGAGGCCAACCAGACCAGAAGCUGAAUCGACACUGUGGAUGGGAUAGCAUCCUCUGCUGCACAUGAAGUCAGCAUGCUAGUUUAGAGGAUGCACCUUGGCUGGGGGUGAAUGAGGAAUGGCUAGAGGACUUCAGUUGGUGUGAAGCUGGUUUGAGAUACAGUGCAUGAAACAGUAGUAUUGUAUAACAACGUACAGGAUACAUAUGCAUUUUGGAUAACAUUGUGUGAACAAAGAUUAAAAACCCAGCACUAUAAACCCAGUGAGUUUACCAUAAGUGGGAGUGCGAACAUAGCCAUGUAGUCCAAUGCCACAUUGUUGUCCAGAGUGCAAAACAUUGCAGUGCUAAACCUUACUAACUACUUUGCAAUACAACUGAUUGAUUUUCAGAUUUCAUCAGGGUUGGCAGCCACUCAUUGAUUGUAAAUUGGAUGUAGGAAAGAAAAGAGAAAAAAUAAGAAUGCACUGUCAGGGCUUUUACCGUGCAACGUCUGGAUGUUUUUAAUGAUUUUUUAAUGUUCUGUUGACAGGCAUACGAAAAGCAGUGCAAAAUGCAGAGAUGAUAAGACAUCCCUGCAGGAUUUACAUAAGGGGGGGGGAGAUAUCAUUUUCUAUAGCACAGAACACAAUGGAACUUCCAGAUGAAAAGGCAAUAUAGAAAACUGUCUAUCCUCACCAGGGGCUGCUGAUUUCAAUGGAUCUACUUGGAAUAUGGCUUAUACCGCCACUGUUGCUAUUCUUAAAGGAGGAGACGGUCCCAUGCAUUUAAUGCAUGGCAUACUUUCUCCCUGAGAAGUUAAGCGUAAGGAUUUGUGGCAACCGCGGUCUUUGAGGAUUCUAACACAGACAGCCCAUUUGAAAUAAUUUAUGCAGAAGCUAGUUUUAUUGAUUUCAAGCCUCCAUGUAUAGACACUUAGAAAUGUAGCCAGGAUGGAAACAUUCUUUCAAAUGUCUGUCACAUCAGAACCUCUUUAACGCUUGCUCUUUCCACACUGUAAUGUUGUUAAAGAAAUUGCCUGGAAAAACUGGAUCAUUAAAACCAAAUCCAACAAACGACGCUGUAUAUAAAAACGCAACAAGGAGUUUUUUAAACUUUUCGAGGGGCAGAAGUAACUGUUGGAUCUCACUCUGGAGCACUGACGUGAGGCGAGUUUUAAAUCCUCCUGUUGAAAGAUGGUCACGAUUAAAAACCACUAAGUUUA
Long non-coding RNA from Podarcis raffonei (Aeolian wall lizard), 1808 nucleotides. RefSeq lists it as uncharacterized. The transcript has 2 exons. Lineage: Eukaryota; Metazoa; Chordata; Lepidosauria; Squamata; Lacertidae. The record is from RefSeq and is a predicted model, not a curated record.